This is a non-coding RNA of Drosophila kikkawai, 497 nucleotides long. The record is from RefSeq and is a predicted model, not a curated record. NCBI's taxonomy places the organism in Eukaryota, Metazoa, Arthropoda, Insecta, Diptera, Drosophilidae.
CUUUAAAAGUCUCUCAAAAGUAACUCAGUCUUUAAAGUCUUUUAUAAAAGUCAAGAUGCCUUUAGGUCUAUUAUUUUUGUUUUUAAUUUCAAUUAAUUUUGCCGUCCAAAACGAAGUCUGUUCUAUUUUGUCAAUCUGUGACGAUAUUUCAGCAAUAAAAUCACAAGUGGCAGCUAUUCGCGAGGAGCAAGCCCGACAGGCUAAUAUUUUGGAGGGUUCUGCUUUGCCUCUCGAAUCUGCAAGUGGCCUAAGUGUGGCAACCACCAAGAAUAAUGAUGAAUUUUGCACUCUUUUAUCGAUUUGCAAUAAUCUAGCAGCUUUAAGCUUGGAGUUGGCAGCUGUGCGGUAUAUUUAUAAUCAAUUAUUGUAACCAAAACAUUUUAAAAUUUUGAAGAUUUGUGAAGAUUUGCUAAAGAAAUCAGGUCUCAGUUUCUAGUACUGACUUGCCACAGACUUCCUGCUAGAAUGUCAAAAAUAAAAGCAAAAGUUCCCUAAAA